CUAGCAUGCUUAAAAACGUCCAGAUAGUUUUUUUAUGUAGCAAGACAACUUGUGAAUAUAUACUUAUUAUUUUCAAGUUAGUUAAGUAUUUAGCAUGAUGUGGGAUUCUUCAACGUCCAUUUUUCUCCGAAUUUUUGGAAACCACGACGGGAAUAUUUCCAUACAAAACUGGUCUAGGUGGGAAAUUUCGGAGGAGGGGGACGAUGAAGGCUGGCCAUGGGAAAGGUUGGACCCAGAUGGGUGGUACAAAUUUCAGGAAACCAACUGGUGGCUCCCAUUCCUCAUUGUGUUCGUUUACAUGUUAUCCAUCCCUGUUUUGAAGAAGUGGAUGAGAACAAGAGCCCCUGUGACCCAUCCAUACUUGGUCAGAACCAUGUCAUUUCAUAACUUAUUAAUUUCAAUGUACUCGGUCCUACUUUUGUGGAGAUGCAGUCCACGCCUGAUAAAAGCACUUUCGUAUCAGCAAAAUUGGUUUCAUCAUCUUGCUUGUGAAAGGGGCCAAUUGACAAGGAAAGAUAUCUUCUGGCUGAUUACAUUCUGCUGGAGUAAAGUGGUGCAUUUACUGGACACUUAUUUUCUAGUGUUGAAGAAGAAGCAUGUACCUUUCUUCCAUUUGUUUCAUCACGCGAUAGUCGUCUUUAUUCCAAUGAGCAUCGUUUCGUAUGGAGAGCCGAUUAUUUAUUUGUUUGGGUUAUUAAACAUGGCCCAACAUGCAAUUACUUAUCCAGUUUUGCUUGCCAAGACGCUAAAGGUGUCAUUAUGCUCUGCCACUUCGACGUUAUUGCUAAUUUUGGAAUUAAUUCAAAUGAUUGUUGGACUAUUUUUGGGAGGUUACACACUUUAUGUCAUAAAAAUUGGAGGAAACUGCAUUCGACAUCCAGUGAGCAUUGCGUUUCUAAACUUCAUUUUUGUGUCAUUGGGAGUUGUUGCUGCGAAACUUUUGCUUCAAAAGUUUGUGUCUGGAAGAAGAAAACUUAAAGAUAAUUAAGCUAUCAAGUACUAUCGUAAUGAAUGAGGAUACGCGUAUAAAGUGCCACAGGAAUAUGGAUAACCUCGAGUUAAUACAAGAUGCAUUCGGACAAGUGGUUAAUAAAAAGUGCUCACUAAAUUCAUAAAAUUUAUCUUAAUGUUUCAUGAAACGUACAGCACUGAGGAACAUGAAAGUAGUAUUGGUAUAAAAGGUCUAUUCCUGGGCUGACUGGAAAAUUCUUAAACCGAGUACAAAUUCACAUCUUAUGAAAAUUUCAUAAAAAGUAUCUGACACGGAUAGCAUGUCAUGCAUAUGGGAAAAAAUGGACGACGGUGGAUAAUUAAAACUGCUUAGCUGCGAUAUAAGUUAUAAAGAUUUUACUUCAUUUCCUCGUAAAAUGAAGUUUUUAACCACUUAACACUUUCAUUUGAGGAUAGUUAUUAUUUGAUCUGUUGUGCAUUUGUGUGAAUGAGUAUGACUCAUCCACAGUUUAUCACUCAAUUCAAUCGCACAAUUGCGUCAUCAUCACAUAUCCGUUAACAUUAUGUUACAGUUGCCUAAAAAUGAACGGUAUUGGACAAAACAGUGCAUUUACCUUGUUAUGCGCACACUGAUCAACCCAUGAAAUACCAAUAUCUAACGUACAAUACAAGCGUAGCUCUUUCAGUCAUCAAUGUGAUCAACCCGUAUUUUAGUCAUCAAUUGAAAACGUUUGCCAUUUGUUCAUGUCUUAAAUAAAUUCAAUAAAUAAACGACACCUUCAUUAAUUUACUAUAGUAGAUGCAUACAAAAAGGUGAGAAUGGGGGGCACUAACCGUGGUUUAGAGGAAGACAUCAAAAAAUUGUCACUUCUUAAUCUCACCGAUCGUGCUAAAGAAUCAGUCAUUGGGUUAAUUGACAUUGAUUGCUUCGAGUGUCAGUGGUUCGAGCAUGAAAAUUCAUCUCUCAAAGGAUUGCCGUGUGCAGCAGUUUCUACCAAUGAAAACGGGGAUUUCCGAAGAUUCAACUCUGUUAAUUACGAAGCUCGUUCUUUUGGCGUAUCAAGACUGCACACAUACGAAGAAGCGUUGGAACUAUGUCCCACACUGAAGUUAGUGUCCCUUCCUCGUAAGGAAGGGACAGAAAUUGGAGAUCUGCUAAAAAACGCUGCUGCCGAAGUUCACUCAUCUCUGGAAAUAUUUGCGCAAAAUAACUUUUCACAAACCUCCUGCGUGAUACAGUUUAGUCCCACGGACGAGUUUUAUGUCGACCUCACGAAACAAGUUGAGUAUAAACUUAAUAUUGAAACAAAGUUAGAGAUGGCUCGAUGCAUUUUACGUCGCAUGUUGAAGCAUAUUUUCAAGGAGACAGGAUUCGCUUGUUCUGCUGGAGUUUCAACAUCCCGUUUACGGGCAAAACUAGCAGUGGAACAAGAUCGGCCUCGUGGGGUUAGCGUUCUUCAUCCAGAUGACUGGGAUGCUUUUCUGGACGCCAGAGAAAUCAAAACUGUUCCAGGACUGAAAAAGACACUAGGAAAGCAAUUGACGGAUAAAUUUGGAAUACGCUUAAUGAAAGACUUGAGAGUAAUUUCAGACAAAGAUUUGGUAGAGAUUGGAAGAAUAAAAGGAAAACAAUUGGAAACAUUGGGGAAAAUAUUUUCUGGAGAUUUCGUUACAUAACGUUAAUCUUAUUUUAAUCAAACAUAUUGAUAGUAUAUUAUCUGUAAAACUAAGAAAUGUGGAUAUGUUACAAUUUUUAGUACCAGAAGCUGCGUAAAGAUCCCAAAAGGGAUGCAUGAUCAUGAAAGAAAGAAUAAAUAACUAAAUAAACACUAAAAACUUUUAUAAUUA
Molecule: RNA transcript, 2799 nt
Organism: Folsomia candida
Lineage: Eukaryota; Metazoa; Arthropoda; Collembola; Entomobryomorpha; Isotomidae
Gene name: DNA polymerase IV
Exons: 6
Source: RefSeq, a predicted model, not a curated record